GACCCCUACUUGAUCUAACCAGAGGAAACCUUAAGAACUUCAACGUUGAAUUUGCAUCUUUAAACAUUUAAAGUGAUACUUUCUGAAUGACACUGAGAUACACAUUUUUUAAAGAUAAAGGCUGGUAAAUAUGGCGGGUAUUAUUCACCAUAUUAAUAACUAUCAUUCGAGUAUGAUUUUUGUCCUGAUUAGUAGUUCAGUUUCUUAAUUAUGGCCUCCAUAACUGGUCUUCCAUGAACUGCAUUGAUGAAGAUGAAUUCUGGAGUUUUGCUUCGUCUUUAAUCAGAGCAAUGAUGCAAAUCCGCACAGUGGCCACAGGGGGCGCUGUGUAACGCCUCAGAGAACCCGGAGGAGACGCACAGGGAAACCGCACAACCUGUUAGCAUCGGGCGGUGCAGAAAAGACCGCUACAGCUGCACGAAUUAUUUUACCCAGACGGCUCUCUACUGCCGGUUGUUUGAUGUCAGUAACCGAGGAGACGGUCAGUGUUGAAGCUGGAGAAUAAUCUGCAGACAGAGAUAAAAUCUAGAACUGAAGCAUCUCCUUCUGAGCCUGGAACAGGAGCAGGAAGCUGCUGGUACCAGCGACAGCUCAGCUGUGUCCUGCAGCAUGUUGUCAUUAAUGAGGUCCCUGUGGGACGCUGUUUAGUAUUCAGGGCUCCAGAUCUGUCCUCGUUUCUUCUCCCCCGAGAGGCCCCGGGUCCCUCUGAGGUCAGGGGCCCCUGAUGUUAAAUGGCCAGCUGCUAUGAAGCAUUAACUGGGGCAACAGUUACCCAAGCACCACAAAGCAGUUUGCUUGAAGAGUCCAACUUAAUCUAAUUACCAUAAAUCAGCCCGAGAUCAAGAGUCUGGAUCAGCCUGCAGGUGUUCUGUAGGGCAGGAGGUGAUAGGUAUUAGUGUUGAUUAUUUUGACCACCUUAUACCGCAAACAGCUGGGAGCAGAACCUGGAAGUAAGUCCAUCUCUACGACAACAAGUGACUUCAUGCUAACAGACAUGCUGCACCGUUACUUUAGAGCAUGCGGUCGGACCCGGUUAAAAUACUAACAUAGAGUCAGACAUCUUUAACGCUAUAAGCCUCAGAGGAUGAGAAAUGACUCUUUGCUGCAGUUAAUGAUGGAAGGUAAAGCACAGCAGGAGUAAGUUUGGAUCAGAACCCGGUUUCCUGAUGCUGCUGCAUGUCUGUUGGGGGACGUGCCUGCAGCAGCUCAGAGCCAUGUGCUGCAGAGGUUAGAUGAGACAAGCGGUACCAGAGCAGAAAGCAAGCUCCAGCAAAGUUGAGCCGUUGGCAUGGCAACCAACAGAGCUGCACCUAAGCAACAGGUGUUCUGGUUUGGAGAACCUCAGCGGUUCUCUUUCUGUGUCCAGAGCUCUGUAGUCACGAAGGAGCUUCCUGGCCCGGCAGGAUGUUGGUACCUAUUGGUACCGGUCUGAAGUCACUGUUUCAUUAAAACACAUUUCUAA
This is a long non-coding RNA of Girardinichthys multiradiatus, 1462 nucleotides long. RefSeq lists it as uncharacterized. Lineage: Eukaryota; Metazoa; Chordata; Actinopteri; Cyprinodontiformes; Goodeidae. The transcript is spliced from 3 exons. The record is from RefSeq and is a predicted model, not a curated record.